UGGCUCAGUUGGUAGAGCAUGGUGUGUGCAACGCCAGGGUUGUGGGUUCGAGUCCCAC
Molecule: transfer RNA, 58 nt
Filed under: Salmo salar (Atlantic salmon)
Lineage: Eukaryota; Metazoa; Chordata; Actinopteri; Salmoniformes; Salmonidae
Rfam family: tRNA
About the family: Transfer RNA (tRNA) molecules are approximately 80 nucleotides in length. Their secondary structure includes four short double-helical elements and three loops (D, anti-codon, and T loops).
Source: Rfam by way of RNAcentral